RNAcentral lists this transfer RNA (55 nucleotides) under Selenops bursarius. RNAcentral describes it as "tRNA-Pro". The record is from RNAcentral. Lineage: Eukaryota; Metazoa; Arthropoda; Arachnida; Araneae; Selenopidae.
UUCUAAAUAAUUUAAUAAAAUAUCUACUUUGGAUGUAGAAAAUUCUAUAUAUUUC